UUGGAAUUAAUAUUUGACUCAUGUUUUCAUUUUUACCGUUCAGCAUUGUAAGUAGUUUUGAUGAGGCAUUUUUCUUGUCUCUUUCUUGCUGCUUGGUUGCUUUUUUGCUGCUUGGACAGAGGCAGCAUGCUGUUGGUGUGCCAUUGUAGGGUCAGCUUGACUCAAUAUUUGCUCUCAAAUUGUACUCCAGGAUUUUUUGUCACCCACCCUUGGUUGAAGAUGUUGAAGGCAGCCAUUUUUCUGAAACCUCAGAAGUACAACGCUUUCCCUAUUCCCAGCACUUACAACCUCAGUUACAAGCAUGUGAUAAACUGUCUCAGUACCAACACUGUGCAUGGAUAGUGGAGGUCUUGCCUACAUUGCACACCAAGAACAUUAUCCAGAGUGCUUGCUGUGUUCUUUGUCCAGCCUGAGGAUCUGUUGGAAUGUCUGGAAGCUUCUGCCAUGUCUGGAUCAGUUUGAAAGAGACUAAUCCAGAAGACAGGAACAGCUCCUAGAGCCCAUGCUUGUGCUUAAAGCUUUACCUACCCUGAUGCAUACAUGUGGAACCCUCCACAUUUCCAUUUUGGAAAGGUCUUCCAUGCUGAAUAUCAUACUGAUAACAAUGACAAAAUUACAUGUUUACCUCACACCAAGGAGAAACUUUCAGAUAUCAUCAGCCAUUGUUUUCUUAUUGUAAGCCGCCAUUUGCAGGCUUGUAACAAAGCGGGCGAAGACUUGCUGUUCUGCACAGCUAUUUUGGAAAGAUUUUCUACAAUCAUUCCCCAACUUAAUUUUUGAUCACGUUUCAUCUGAAAGUCAAGAAGUUGAAAUCUAUGGCUGAAUGCAUCUCCCAGAAUCGCCUGUUAGAAAUGAGCAAAGCCAUCAGAAAUCUGAGACAGUGUCUGCCCCAAGUCAACUUACAUGAAUGAAACCUGAACUGAAAUAAAUGUUAACAAUGAGAUCAUCAAUAGGAAUCAUGCUUCUCCAGGAAGGCAAGCUACCUUUCUUACCGUGGGAAUGCUCCAUAAGUAUUUGCAUCAACAACAAUACAUGCUUUAGAGACCUGGAGAAAUAAUUACUGCAGUGUGGUAUUUUGACUUCUGCUUCUGUGAAGAUCUAACUGAAUGUCUCAAGGAGGCCUUGGAGAGUGCUGUUGUGGAUAGCAAUGAGGGUGACUCAUCUGGCUAUAGAGCUGGAAAUGGAAAUGUAAUAUUAAAGAAAAUAAAUAACAAGACUGAAAAGAGAAUUAAAUGAGGAAAUGAGGCGUGAAUGCGUGAGACAGAGGUUAGUCUACUGCAUGUAAGUAGAUAUCGCCUAAUUAUUUGGGAAGCAGAACUUAGUAAGGGAACUGUAGGAUUAUGAGUGAACUAGAGCACUCUAGGAUAUGCCUAGCAAUUUCUUUA
Molecule: long non-coding RNA, 1385 nt
Organism: Centrocercus urophasianus (Greater sage-grouse)
Lineage: Eukaryota; Metazoa; Chordata; Aves; Galliformes; Phasianidae
Exons: 7
Source: RefSeq, a predicted model, not a curated record